Bombus pyrosoma is the source of this 7127-nucleotide long non-coding RNA. RefSeq lists it as uncharacterized. The record is from RefSeq and is a predicted model, not a curated record. The transcript has 2 exons. Lineage: Eukaryota; Metazoa; Arthropoda; Insecta; Hymenoptera; Apidae.
UUUCAACGAAUCAUCGUAUUAUACGUUGCAACAAGGUGAAUCGAAAGGUAUCGAAUCGUAUGAUGUAAUAUUUCAAUUAAGAAAAAGAAAAGUAUAUCCGAAUAAAGAAGAAUACAAGAAACUGAUAGUGUAAGAAAAAUAUUUACAAUUCACACUUUCAACGAAUCAUCGUAUUAUACGUUGCAACAAAGUGAAUCGAAAAGUAUCCAAUCGUAUGAUGUAAUAUUUCAAUUAAGAAAAAGAAAAGUGUAUCUGGAUAAAGAAGAACACAAGAAACUGAUAAUGUAAGAAGAAUAUUCACAGUUUACACUUUCAACGAAUCAUCGUAUUAUACGUUGCAACAAGGUGAAUCGAAAGGUAUCGAAUCGUAUGAUGUAAUAUUUCAAUUAAGAAAAAGAAAAGUGUACCCGAAUAAAGAAGAACACAAGAAACUGAUAAUAUAAGAAGAAUAUUUACAAUUCGCACUUUCAACGAAUCAUCGUAUUAUACGUUGCAACAAAGUGAAUCGAAAGUUUCUGGCAGAUGUGUUUUAGAUCGAAAAACUCAAGACACGUUACUCGAUGUUAUUAACAAACGAAGUAAAAAUAUCAAUUAAUUGAAUUGGACAACAGUAAAGACUCCAUAAUUGCUCGCAAGUAGCUGCCGCAUAAUUGCUGCUUGCUUAUCCCCACCAAUGGCAGGAUUCCUCUUUGUACCAUCGACGCGAGUAACGUGACGCGUCAACUUCUCUCGACACUAAUUUCACGGAACGCGCGUCCUUUUGACGCAUUUCGAAUUUCACGAGGAAAAUUACACAAACCGUGUACGUUCUUCUUCUACGGUUUCUAUCGAUUUCUAUCCAUUCAACGAGACGAAUAUACACGGAAAUUCAUUUUCCUCGUAGCUUUCCAGUUUCCAAGUUCUCUACCUGGUGUACUUAUCUCUACGGAUACGCCCCAAUCUGACGCAAUCGUAAAAAAUAUGAACACGAUAAAUGAGCCAGCUGUUGACAAAAGUGAACAUGAAGAAUACAGCGACCAUAUUUGGGAGAAAAUUUCUCAAAUCUCGAGUGGAUGAAAUGCUGUUUCGUGUGUUACGUAUUCACCUUGGAAAACCUUAGGCAGAACAGGGCAAUAAGCCUCAGAAGAAGAAACGAAACUCGGUAUAUGAGACGCGUAGUUGCAAAAAUCGCGCAACCAAUUGCAGUCGCAGUGUGAAGACUCGUUCGAAGCUACUGGUGUAUUUUCAAUGUCAGUAAAAUGAUCGAAAAGUCGCGAAUCAUUGUGAAUUUAUUAUUUCGAAAUUCAACCUGUCGCUUCAAAUUUUCACAAACUCCGAAUAUGUCUAUUGGCUUGGCAACUAAGUGAUUGCGGAUUUUGUCAUUAGGCGGUAGUGACAAAAUCCGCAAUCACUUAGUUGCCAACCCAAUAGAAGAGGAGACAACAUCUCGCAAAAGAUGGUCAGUUUACGCGAGCACUGUUCUGACACGCCAGCUGUGAAGAGGAUGAAGACGAAGUAUCUCGGAACGAGGCUGAAUUUCAGAUUUUCGAAUCAGAGGAAAGCGACAAAACAGAGGAAUCUUCAUACAAAAGCGAAGGAGAGGAUUCCCGGGAUUUUCGUCUCCGAAUCACGCGAACAUUGCCAGAUCCUGCGAAAUUUGAACGUGGUUCGUGAUACUGAAACUGCGGUCGAUGGACCAACUUGGAAGAAAUUGGAAACAGGCGGAUCUAGUGGUAGACCACUUAUCAAAAUAUUCAAGGACAUCGCUGGUUCUACCGGAUACGCAACAAGGAAUGUGGCGACAGAUAGCGUCGCUAUCAGUUCUACUUGAUAAUCGACAAAAACACAUGUUGCAACAUAAAAAAUGUUACACAGAAGCAGAGACAGGUGGUGUCUUAAUUGAUUGGACAAUUUCAAUGGCUAAGUUAGUUGCUUUUACUGCGAUUUUGUAAGCUCGAGUAGCAUACGAAGCAAAGUCACUGAAAGCUCUUCAUUUAGGGCGCAGGAAAUGGCCAGUUGCUUUCUUAUCGAACACAAUGCCGAGAGAUGAAUUGAUGCAAAUUCUUCGAUUUGAUAAAAGUUUGAUAAAAGAAGAGAACGAUCGGAAGGUUUACGUACAGACAAAAUUCAGCACAAGAUGCGCGGAAUAAAUGUGAUGAUAUAUAAUGUUGAACAUUAUAAAUCUCAUGGUUUCAUUUAUAAAUUAACAGCGUAUAAUUAUAUCGUUUUCUUUUUUUAAAGAAAAUUUAUGAUUUUGUUCAUGCGUCAAAUCGACACGUAGAGAUAGGAACAUAUAGGAAACGUGAGUAAACCUAGCUUUGAACAUCUGUUUCGUCUUCGUUUCAGCGAGACGACACUAGCGCCACGACGAAGCUUCUCCGUUUUAAAUUUCUCGCCAAUCGCAUUGUGUUACGUUGGAAUUUCUCUUUUACGUGAAAAAGCAAUUACCGACUUCCAUCUCGGGAGGUUCCGUCUCGAGAUAAAGAAAAUUACUUUUCUAUUACAUCGGCUUCUCUUAUACUUGAAAAGGCAAUCAUUGACUAUCUCAAAAUAAAAAAAAAAUAAAUAAAAAAGAGAUAAUUGAUAAUAUAUAACAAAAUAUAAAACAAAAAUUUACUCGAGUCCUAUCCCAUCAAUCAGAUAGCCGGAUACUCGCAAUCAGAAAAAUACCUGAUGCAACCUGCUUGAACACUCUACUCGUGUCAUCCGAUGUUUACAACAUUUCGAAUAAUUUCUAUUUCUGAGUCAAUCGAAUAUCUAAAUUAAAUAUCUUCAUUUUUGUACCGAAAUACCAACAAGUUAACGUUCUCAGCAGGUAUACUGGCUGGCUUCAACAUUUCCACACAUUUCCAGCUGUUCAAAACACAUUAGCAAAGUUGCUAAGAUGUACUUGUGUAUACAAGUUGCAAGCUCUCAACGUGUAGUUCCAACAGCUGACAAUAUCGUCAACGUAUAGCCUAACAGCAUACUACUCGAGAAUGUUGAUUCGUUGGCAUUUCCGUACAGAACUGAAAAUGUCUACUUUAAAAUGAUCGUUUCAUCGUCUACCAAAAACACAUAGAUAGAAACAUUGUGAACGCCUGUGACACGAGUAGGGUACUCGAGUGAAACAUAGCAAGCAUCCGAGUAGCGAUAGCUCUACUCUCAGCUAUCUCAUCUCUGUGGACAAGAACAGUGAUAAAACACGUGGCUAAAUUUGAAUCACUGCAAUCAACCGCGUUGAGAACAGUUGCGAAUACAGCGCGGUGUAUCAGCAGCGAAAGUCUAAGGAAACAGCCAAUUAGGCUACCAACGAUCCAAGAGGAAAUUAAGAGAAAUGGAACGAAGCGUGAGAAAAGAGUCGCAAAGCGUCCUAAUCAACUAGCCCUGCAGGCCUACAAAGCCAAAAUUAAACGAAGAUUGAAAGACAAGCAUCCUGCUGACCUGCUAAUCUCAUGAGAUGAUACAAGAUGACAUGUUCGUUUCCCUACUGGGAAUAGUCAUCCAGGUGAUAAUUUAUAAAGAAUAUGGAAGAAUUUACCGAAUGUCCAAUAGGACAAACUGUAGAGAGAAAUAACUAAGUUUAGAAAGAGAACUAUGUCAUGUGCUUGGUGGUGAUGUUUCUCACCCAGGCAUCUCAUAAGUAGACUGCUGGUUCUUACACAAUUAUAGUUCAAUUGAAAAAAAUAUGCGAGAUACCCAAAGUAUAGUGUCAUAAUAUUUAACAAUUGAAAUAAGUGUUCCUUUAAUUGUAGGAACAAGAAAUAUGAAUUUGCAUAAAUCCGCAGUCUGCUCACAAAUAACAACUCUACUUGAAAGUUAUUGAAAUCCUACACAUUUUUCUGCUUGUCAUUCGCUGAAAUGAACACCAUACAGCUACGAAUAAGUCGAGUUGAUCUUUCCUUCUUUUCUUUUCUUUUUGCCAAUUCUCAGCUUUUAUGGAGACUUUACUGUAUCACCUAACAGACCAGUGCUCGUAGAAAACAUUGCAAGUGCCAGAAGCAACAGAUUCUCGGGGGCAGAAGAGAACUUAUAGUAUUAAUAUAGUGCAAAUUCAUGAAAGAGAAGUGUAUCUUCUAAGAAACUCAAUGUUCCAUUCAAUUGGAUGAAGACAGAUGGUAUAUGUAUCUUAUGGUAUAUGAUGGUAAGUGUAUCUCCUAGGAAACUCAAUGUUCCACUUAAUCCGAUGAAGACAGAUGGUAUAUGUAUCUUAUGGUAUAUGAUGGUAAGUGUAUCUUCUAGGAAACUCAAUGUUCCAUUCAAUCGGAUGAAGACAGAUGGUAUAUGUAUCUGAUGGUAUAUGAUGGUAAGUGUAUCUUCUAGGAAACUCAAUGUUCCAUUUAAUCCGAUGAAGACAGAUGGUAUAUGUAUCUUAUGGUAUAUGAUGGUAAGUGUAUCUUCUAGGAAACUCAAUGUUCCAUUCAAUCGGAUGAAGACAGAUGGUAUAUGUAUCUUAUGGUAUAUGAUGGUAAGUGUAUCUUCUAGGAUACUCAAUGUUCCAUUCAAUCGGAUGAAGACAGAUAGUAUAUGUAUCUGAUGGUAUAUGAUGGUAAGUGUAUCUUCUAGGAAACUCAAUGUUCCAUUCAAUUGGAUGAAGACAGAUGGUAUAACAAAAGCUAGGAAACAAUUAUCUGCUGUUCAUUAGCAUUCAUAUGUUUUUGUAUAGAGAUGAGGUUGUCACAUGACCUUUGAGCAUUAUUAAUAACAAUUUAGAAAGAGACAUUACACUUGGAUUCUACGCUACAGCAUUCUCAUUGGUAGGUAGAACAUUUCUCAGUAAAAGAAUUCCAAGUGUUUUCCAUUCUGACACUCGCAGUGUUUUCUACAAACAAUAUUCAAUUAAUGGAAUGUAUCUAAAAUUCAUAGCUAAGCAAUACUUAGUCAUUUAGUUAUUUUCUGGAAAUUGAAACAGUUUCUCCUUUGAGGCUAUAAGAAAGAUUGCUAUAAGAAAAUAAAUGAGAACUCUGUUGAUUAAAUGUUUAUAGCGAGCUAUGAUCUAACAGAUCAUUAGAUUAGAUCGUAUGACGAUCAAAAGAUACAUGUAAUAGUUAAGAAGAUGCAAGAAACGAAUGAACAAAAUAUUGAAGAAGAAUCAAAGUAGUAUAGUGUUAGUGGAGGAACCGUAGACCGAGGCUUGCAACAGGCUGUCUGUACAACAAUCUUAAUAACAUGAUAUGCAACAUUUAUAUUCUAAUCUUAGAGUCAGUAAAAACUAUGCGCUGGGCACGAAGCUCUCUGUUCCACGCGUUAAAAAACGAAUAGAAAAACCUUCGGAAAAAGUGCGUAACAAUAAGGAAAUGAAAACCGUCCACGUGCGAGACGAAAAUAUCGGAAUUAGUUUGUUUUCCUAUCUCUUUCGUGGUUAAUGAGUCUGGCGUUUUUAAAAAAUUUGAUUCGUCGCAGUCGUUGCGACCCCGGCACUAUUGUAAAACGGUAUGUAAAUAUACUUAUUAUAAUAAUAUAUAGCUGCAUCUGUGAUUUGAUUGUAAAUCGUGAGGUAAGGAGCCUGUGUGAAUGGCGCGAUCAACUCGAGAAACGUUUCCACUUUCCUCGAACUUGGAGUCUACAGUAAAACUUCCAACAAUCUUAUAAUUACACACGCAACAUGUAAGAAGCUAAGAAGAUUUAAAAACAAAAGAAAAGAAAAUCUCGAUAUUUGAAAUUUCGCUAUUUAAAUUCAAUAAUUAAAUAUUUCAAUGUUUAAAUCAAUGAAAUAAGAAAUAAAAGGAAAGAAUAAAAUUGAAAUGACGAUCUGGUUAAUAGAAAAGAAAGAAGACCAAAAAUUUUGGAAAUGACCACUUAGGUAAUAAUAAUUUGAAUAACUAUGAAAUUGAUGGAAAUUUUAGACUCUAACGUAAAGUAUAUAGUGAAACAUUUGUCGAGAACAUGGCGCUCACGGAACUAUUGUCAUCUGUAAAAUAUAAUAUAAAAGAUCCUGAGUUGUACUGUGUGGUACUAUGGCUAUGGAGUUCGGCGGUGACUGAGAUGGCUUUAUCUUUCCUCUUUUCUCUUGAAAUAAUACAUACAGAAUAUUGUACAAGUUCUAGGAAAACUAAAUAUCCUGCAAUGCCAAAAUAAAAUAUAAAAUACUUCACCUUCUAUGUAUCAUAAUAUCUACAUACUUUAAGAUACUGACAAACAAAUUUAACACAUGUAUAAGAAUUAGUGUCACUUAAUAAAGUAGGCAGGCUCAUUAAUUAUACAUGUCACUUAUGUUAACCAGUAACUUAACGUGUUAAUAAUCAGUUUGCAUAGAAGUAUUUUCAAUAAAUCACCUACUAGAUAUCUACUAAACGCAUUUACUAAGAUAAUAAAAUAUUUAUAAAUUGUUAUCACUAUAAAGUUUUAUCAUAUAAUGAAGCAUUAAUAAAGAAAGAAAAAAAUUCAACUUGGUCUAAAAAGAUUGAUUAAAAAUUGUAAAAUAUAUGAUUAACGUUAUUAAAUAAUAAAUUGCUGGUCGAUAAAGCAAUACAUUUUAUAAAAUAAUACUCUAUAAAUCACUUGGGACAAACUAUUCCGUUAUUUCUAAAUUAGUAAUAUAUGUUUUCUAAGGAUAUAGUUCAUUUGUAAUAUCAAUACGUUAAAGUUUCAAACGUAUCAUUGUUUAACAGAGACAAAAUGAGAAUAAUAGAAAUAAUAAUACUGUUUACGAGAAAUUCACUUGAUGGGGAAAGCAAUAUUUCAAAAAUCAAUACCAUUAAAAAUAAUUGGUUAAUGUAGUAAACGACAGCAGUGAAAGUAAAAUACAGAAAUGCUAUGUUUUAUGGUGAUGUUAAAAAGUAAUUUCAAAGAAUUAAAAGAAAUUCCAAAGAAGUUGGAUUAUACGUAAUUUGCUAAAACUAUGGAGAAAAGUAUUAAAUUCAGCUCUGUAAUAUCACAUUAGAGCGUAUAAAAAAAUUCACAAGAAAAGCCAUCUCGGGCACAGGCCUCUUAUAAUAUAUUAAAUUCAAUCUGCUGCAUCACGGUGGUUUCCCAUCGAUAACUGUCAAUAAUAAAUCCUCUGUAAAUCUGCUUGAGCUGUAAAAUCGGUUGGCUGUCUAUUGCACCGUUAAACUGCUAUGCGGUGAAAAAUAUAUUAUAAUAUGUUCGUACGUCAUCCUGGGAGUUUCUGUGCGUGUCACCCAGUCGUGUGACGCAAUCGAUAAAGUAAAUAUAAUCCUCUGUAAGAA